Molecule: ribosomal RNA, 466 nt
Filed under: uncultured bacterium
Lineage: Bacteria
Description: SSU rRNA
Rfam family: Bacterial small subunit ribosomal RNA
Source: RNAcentral
AGCCUGAACGCUGGCGGCGUGGCUAAGACAUGCAAGUCGAACGGGUGUAGCAAUACACCAGUGGCGGACGGGUGAGUAAUGAAUCGCUAAUGUACCCCGGAGCCAGGGAUAGCUGCCCGAAAGGGCAGGUAAUACCUGAUGAGACCACAGUACCGCAUGGUACGGUGCUCAAAGCCGCAAGGCACUCUGGGAGCAGGCGAUUUUGUAUCAGCUAGUUGGUGAGGUAAUGGCUCACCAAGGCGACGACGCAUAGCCGGACUGAGAGGUUGGCCGGCCACAUUGGGACUGAGACACUGCCCAGACUCCUACGGGGGGCUGCAGUAACGAAUCUUCCGCAAUGCACGAAAGUGUGACGGAGCGACGCCGCGUGUAGGACGAAGCCCUUCGGGGUGUAAACUACUGUCAGGGGAAGAAAGUUCUGAUCUACCCCAGAGGAAGAGACGGCUAACUCUGUGCCAGCAGCCGC